CAACUGGCCACAAGGGAGGCAGGAAAGGCUUUCCAGAAGAGGAAACAUGAACUGGGCCUUGGUGGAUGUGCAGGAAUCAAGAAGGCAGGAAGAAAUGGCGGCGCGGGAGGAGCACAUAACAGGAGUUGGGGUCUGGCAGAAUUUCCAGUGGAGGAGAGAAUGUCAGCCCACUCAAAAGAUUCACCAGCUUCAUCAGUGGCAGCCGGGAGGACACAUUGGCCCCAACCUCUGUCCUCACCCUACCGGACGUCCAACCCCUCGAAGGGCGCAGCUGUGUUCCUAGGGCUAAGCCUUGAUAACGACCGGAAAUGGACCCUGAAGAGGAGAGCCAGGGAGCUCCCUGCAGGUUCUGUGAGAAACCCCCAGCCCACCCUCCCCGAUGGUAUGCAUCAGGCCAAUAACAUUGACCUUGCCGUUUCCACCAAGAUCUAAGAGGACCUGAGACAACAUGAUUCCUUUUUCUUUUUUAAAAAAUGUUUUUAAUGUUCAUUUAUUUU
Suricata suricatta (meerkat) is the source of this 497-nucleotide long non-coding RNA. RefSeq lists it as uncharacterized. The record is from RefSeq and is a predicted model, not a curated record. The transcript is spliced from 3 exons. NCBI's taxonomy places the organism in Eukaryota, Metazoa, Chordata, Mammalia, Carnivora, Herpestidae.